GCCAGGCGUGGUAGUGGGUGCCUGUUGUCCCGGCUACUCGGGAGGCUGAGGCAGGAGUAUCGCUUGAACCCAGGAGGCGGAGCUUGCAGUGAGCCGAGAUCACACCCCUGCCCUCCAGCCUGGGGUGACAGAGCGAGACUCCAUCUCAAAAAAAAAAAAAAAAAAAAANNNNNNNNNNUUUUUUUUUUUUUUUUUUUUUGAGAUGGAGUCUCGCUCUGUCACCCCAGGCUGGAGUGCAGGGGUGCGAUCUCGGCUCACUGCAAGCUCCGCCUCCGGGGUUCAAGCGAUACUCCUGCCUCAG
RNAcentral lists this signal recognition particle RNA (301 nucleotides) under Chlorocebus sabaeus (green monkey). RNAcentral describes it as "Metazoan signal recognition particle RNA". It matches the Rfam family "Metazoan signal recognition particle RNA". From Rfam's summary of the family: The signal recognition particle (SRP) is a universally conserved ribonucleoprotein. It is involved in the co-translational targeting of proteins to membranes. The eukaryotic SRP consists of a 300-nucleotide 7S RNA and six proteins: SRPs 72, 68, 54, 19, 14, and 9. Lineage: Eukaryota; Metazoa; Chordata; Mammalia; Primates; Cercopithecidae. The record is from Rfam by way of RNAcentral.